RNAcentral lists this ribosomal RNA (440 nucleotides) under Eriophora transmarina. RNAcentral describes it as "partial large subunit ribosomal RNA". It matches the Rfam family "Bacterial large subunit ribosomal RNA", at positions 1847 to 2608 of the family's 2925-position model. The record is from RNAcentral. Lineage: Eukaryota; Metazoa; Arthropoda; Arachnida; Araneae; Araneidae.
UGUAAGUAACAUCUGCUCAAUGACCUUGUUUAAAUAGCCGCGGAAAUUUAACUGUGCUAAGGUAGCAUAAUCAUUAGCCCCUUAAUUAGGGGCUCGUAUGAAUGAUGAAACAAUUCAGUUACUUUUUAAUUUAAUUUUUUUGAAUUUAAAUUAAGAAUCAAAAUGUUCUUAUGUUUUAAAUAGACGAUAAGACCCUAUUGAACUUUACUUAAGUUUAGCUGGGGCAGCUAAAAAAGAAUAACCUUUUUUAUUUUUUAUUUUUAGAAGACCCAAUAAAAUUGAUUUUUCGAGCAAGUUACCAUAGGGAUAACAGCGUAAUAUCUUUUUAAAGCUCUUAUUUAAGAAGAAGUUUGCGACCUCGAUGUUGAAUUAGUGUGACUUAAAGAUGCAGUAAUUUUUAAAGUAGGUCUGUUCGACCAUUAAAACACUACAUGAUCUGA